This 1367-nucleotide long non-coding RNA is filed under the name Sus scrofa (pig). RNAcentral's name for it is "lncRNA (ENSSSCG00060076453.1)". Lineage: Eukaryota; Metazoa; Chordata; Mammalia; Artiodactyla; Suidae. The record is from RNAcentral.
UUUUUUUUUUUUUUCUUUUUAGGGCUUCUCCUGUGGCAUAUAUAAGUUCCCAGGCUGGGGGUUGAAUUGGAGCUGCAGCUGCUGGCUUACACCAUAGCCACAUCACCACCAAAUCCUUAACCCACUGAGCAGGGCCAGGGAUUGAACCUGCCUCCUCAUGGAUGCUAGUCAAGCUUGUUACUGCUGAGCCACUACAGGAACUCUAACCCACCACUUUUUUUUUUUUUUUGGCUUUUUUUAGGGCUGCACCCAAGGCAUAUGGAAGUUCCUAGGCUAGGGAUGCAAUUGGAGCCACAGCUGCCAGCCUCAGCCACAUCCACAGCAACGCAGCUCUGAUUCGACCCCUAGCCAGGGAAGUUCCAUAUGCCAUAGGUUUGGCCCUAAAAAAAUAAAUAAAUAAAUAAAUAAAAGACAAAAAAUAAAAAACAAAACAAAAAGGUAGAGCUGAUUUACAAUGUCAUGCCAAUUUCUGCUCUACAGCAAAGUGACCCAGCCAUAUAUAUAUUUUUUUUCUCAUAUCAUCCCCCAUCAUGUUCCUUCCCAAGAGACUAGACACAGUUCCCUGUGCUGUAGGGUAGGACCUCAUUGCUUAUCCAUUCUAAAUGUAAUAGUUUGCAUCUACUAACCCCAAACUCCCAGUCCCUCCCAUUCCCCCACUUCCCCCCUUGGAAACCCCAAGUCUGUUAUCCAUGUCUGAUGUUUCAAUACUACUUUGAAAGGAGGAAGGAUGGGCAAUCUAAUAUAUGGCACAAAUGAAAGAAAAGAAAAUCAUGGACUUGGAGAACAGAUGUGUGGUUGCCUAGGGGGAGGAGGAGGGAGUGGGAGAGAUUGGGAAUUUGGGCUUAAUAGAUGCAAAUUAUUGCCUUGGGGUGGAUGGACAGUGAGAUCCUGCUAUAUAGCACUGGGAACUAUAACUAGUCACUUAUGCUGGAGCACGAUCAUGUGAGAAAAAGAAUGUAUAUAUGUGUGUGUGACUGGGUCUCCUUGCUGUACAGUAGAAAAUUGACAGAACACUGUAAACCAGCUAUGAUGGAAAAAAUAAAAAUCAUUAAAAAAAAAAAAAAAGAAAGGAGGCAGGAUAAUGUUCUGGGAAGAGCAGAGUAGGUGUGAGUCCCAACUGUAUCUCUAGCUCUAUGGCCCUGCCAAGUUACCUGAUCUCUCCAAGCCUCAGUUUCCUAAUCUGUAAAAUGGGGAAAUUAUACCAACCACGGCUGACUAUAUUCAAUCUGUCUGCCCUUAGCGAGUUCUGGGGGCACCAACCCCCACAGUUCGGUCCUAUCCUUUGGCUGCAGGGGGGGUACGUGACCUGGCCUAGACAGUUAAUGGUUGUCUUCCCCCUGUUCACUGAGUGGAUAUAUAACCCUCAU